GGAUUGAUAGGGGCGAGUUUGGAUCUGAUCUGAACCCUCCCCAUUAUGAGGUUGUGAGGGUGUUCAAGUCCUACAGAUUCGGCACCUUGUCUCAUUUGUCUUGUCGAUAAAGUGGAGCGAGUCUGGGUCUGUAAAACCAAGGAAUUUCCUCCCCUAUACACCGAUUUUGUAGACCCGCCCGCCCCUGUUGUGAGGAUAUUCAAGGAGAACAUUUGGCCCCGUUCGGGUACUACAAACCCGGACACCCUGUCUACUCUGUUCCAUCCAUUAAAUGGAGAGAAUCCAGGUCAGAAAAACCAAGGAAUUUCCCUUAUUUUUUUAAGACAUGUACAAUUUCAUGAAAUAUGUUUCUUUUUAGAGAUUAUAAGUUAGACAAAUCAGACCAAAUUAAAAAUAAUUUGCCAAACAACAAAAAACAGGUUUUUCUUUCUUUUAGGAUCAUCUUAUAUAACAAAAUCAAUAUGAAAUAUCACAAGAUAAAAGCUCUGAUACCACAUCAAAACACUCAAUUCUUGGGGUGCAUCACAAAAAGAAGAAGGAUCGAAAAAAAUAAAUGUAUUUGCACAAUUGCCAAAGUAUCAAAAGUCACUUAAUGAGUCUAAUAUAGUCUUAAUUAUAUAGUCAAUGACCUUGCAUGUCGGUUCGGUUAGGUUCGCG
This 657-nucleotide long non-coding RNA is filed under the name Zostera marina. Its description in RNAcentral is "long non-coding RNA (ZMAR_LNC000253)". The record is from RNAcentral. Lineage: Eukaryota; Viridiplantae; Streptophyta; Magnoliopsida; Alismatales; Zosteraceae.